Molecule: ribosomal RNA, 253 nt
Filed under: uncultured bacterium
Lineage: Bacteria
Description: partial 16S ribosomal RNA
Rfam family: Bacterial small subunit ribosomal RNA
Source: RNAcentral
UACGAAUGGAGCGAGCGUUGUUCGGAAUCACUGGGCGUAAAGCGUAUGUAGGUGGAUUGGAAAGUCAGGAGUGAAAUCCCAGAGCUUAACUCUGGAACUGCUUCGGAAACUCCCAGUCUAGUGUCCCGGAGAGGUUGGCGGAAUUCCGAGUGUAGAGGUGAAAUUCGCAGAUAUUCGGAAGAACACCAGUGGCGUAGGCGGCCAACUGGACGGGUACAGACACUGAGAUACGAAAGCGUGGGGAUCAAACAGG